UUACAUUUGAGUGAGUGGCGAACUGGUGAGUAACACGUGGGAAACCUGCCCAGAAGCGGGGGAUAACACCUGGAAACAGAUGCUAAUACCGCAUAACAACUUGGACCGCAUGGUCCGAGUUGAAAGAUGGCUUCGGCUAUCACUUUUGGAUGGUCCCGCGGCGUAUUAGCUAGAUGGGUAACGGCUCACCAUGGAAUGAUAUAGCCGACCUGAAGGGUAUCGCACAUUGGGACUGAGACACGGCCCAAACUCCUACGGGAGGCAGCAGUAGGGAAUCUUCCACAAUGGACGAAAGUCUGAUGGAGCAACGCCGCGUGAGUGAAGAAGGGUUUCGGCUCGUAAAACUCUGUUGUUAAAGAAGAACAU
Molecule: ribosomal RNA, 366 nt
Filed under: Lactiplantibacillus plantarum
Lineage: Bacteria; Bacillati; Bacillota; Bacilli; Lactobacillales; Lactobacillaceae
Description: bacterial SSU rRNA
Rfam family: Bacterial small subunit ribosomal RNA
Source: RNAcentral